This 300-nucleotide ribosomal RNA is filed under the name uncultured Alteromonadales bacterium. RNAcentral describes it as "bacterial SSU rRNA". It matches the Rfam family "Bacterial small subunit ribosomal RNA", at positions 114 to 422 of the family's 1533-position model. Lineage: Bacteria; Pseudomonadati; Pseudomonadota; Gammaproteobacteria; Alteromonadales. The record is from RNAcentral.
CGCGUAGGAAUCUACCCAGUAGCGGGGGACAACAUGGUGAAAACCAUGCUAAUACCGCAUACGCCCUACGGGGGAAAGGGGGCGUUCGGCUCCCACUAUUGGAUGAGCCUGCGUAAGAUUAGCUAGUUGGUGAGGUAAAGGCUCACCAAGGCGACGAUCUUUAGCUGGUCUGAGAGGAUGAUCAGCCACACUGGGACUGAGACACGGCCCAGACUCCUACGGGAGGCAGCAGUGGGGAAUAUUGCACAAUGGAGGAAACUCUGAUGCAGCCAUGCCGCGUGUGUGAAGAAGGCUCUAGGG